UCCCUGGUGGCUGAGAGGUUAAAGCGUCUGCCUGCAAUGCAGGAGACCCAGGUUCGAUCCCUGGAUCGGGAA
Molecule: transfer RNA, 72 nt
Filed under: Ovis aries (sheep)
Lineage: Eukaryota; Metazoa; Chordata; Mammalia; Artiodactyla; Bovidae
Rfam family: tRNA
About the family: Transfer RNA (tRNA) molecules are approximately 80 nucleotides in length. Their secondary structure includes four short double-helical elements and three loops (D, anti-codon, and T loops).
Source: Rfam by way of RNAcentral